This 1830-nucleotide long non-coding RNA is filed under the name Phoenix dactylifera (date palm). RNAcentral describes it as "long non-coding RNA (PDAC_LNC004498)". The record is from RNAcentral. Lineage: Eukaryota; Viridiplantae; Streptophyta; Magnoliopsida; Arecales; Arecaceae.
UCUCAUUAAAGGUUGAGAUCACUUGUUCUCCGCCGCGAAUCUAGGGAGGGUUUUGCCGCCAAUCCGAGCGGGGAAGCUCACCGGAGACGAGGUAAGCUUCCGUACUUCCUUAUUCCAGCCUUUGAGCCAUUGCCUCCACCUUGAUAACUGGUCGGCGAAUCGCCGGAUUGAGCUCUGGGCAAGUCUCCUGUUUUUUCUAGUUCCAACUUCUUUCCUCCUCGUCCAGUCGGCCGUUGUCAGGCAUGGCACGCCGCCGGCACCGCAUGGGCCAUGGACCGCCGAAGGUCAUCGGUACCGAGCAGCUGUUGCCGCCGAGCUCCUCCCACUUCACGAGAAGAAGGAGAGAGAGAGAGGGAGGGAGCCUCAUGGUUCCCCUUCCCUUGUUUUCUCCAUCUUCUCUCUCUACUUUCUUUAUCCUCUCUCCACUUUCUCUCUUAGAAUGUUCUAGGAACCUGGAGCCGAGUCACGUUGACCUGAUCAGCAAAUACGAGUUGACCCCUAGAAAGAGGCCUUGAAUUGCUUGGGUGCCUGAGGUCGCCUAUUGGACUGAUCACCCGGCCUUGUCAAAGUCCAUAAAACCCACUGAUAAGGAACUAUAUUAAACGACCCUGAUCCUGAUCAAGUCCAUGUUCUAUAAUUUGUUGACCGAAUCGCUUAGGCUUGAUCCAUCCGGAAUCGUCGAAUGCUCGUCCUUAUUUCUUAUUAUUUUAAUUCGAUUAAAAUUAUCAAAUAGAAAGUAAUUAUGUUUUUAAUAUUUUUAAAGGAUUAAUUGAAUUACUUAGUAAAGUUUAACAGUUUAAGAUGAAAGAGGUAAGAAGAUCUUGCACUCCUUAUUAUUUUUUAAAUAAUUAUGUUUUUCGUGCAUAAAAUUUGCUUAUGGAAAUAUCAUGCUUUUUUAAAAAUUAUGGAUCAACAUAUGUUUAUAGAAAUUAUUAUUUAUUAUAAAAAUAGUUUCAUGAAUGUUUCGAUGAAAAUCACUUUGUUAUGAAAUAUGAAUAUGAUCAUACCAUUUAAUAUUUUUUAUUUAUAUAUAUAUUAAGAAAAAGAUAUAAGUUUUCAAAGACUUUCUGAUUGCUAUGACCGCCUCAUAAAUAGGGGUCGAUCGACACCCUGAAGCUAGCAUCUAAUAAAAAUGGCCCUCUAUCAAUAGAUUAAAUUUGGUAACAAAUAUGAACCAUGAAAUCUUACUGAUUGCGAAGAUAGCCCUGGUUAGUAACCAUGGCACAAAUAUCUGUGAGCAAUGUUUUGAUACAUGAUAGGAUUAAAUGUCAUGAAAAACGAUUUACGAAGUUAUUUGUAAUAAUGAACUUGGUACUAUGUUUAUGAAGGUUAGAUGAUUUGUUCCUGCAUGAUUUGCUUUAUGACUUAUUUUUAAUAUACUACAUUAUGAAAUACUUAUUUUGAAAUAUCUGCUAUUUUUUUAAAUGAUGCAAUGAUGUGGAAAACUUAUGCUUAAUCUAGUAAGUAGUGAAAGAUUUACUUACGGAGCUGUGUCUAUCAUAUACCUAUAUUUUUAUUUCUCUUUCUCCAGGUAAAUAGGAUCAGUAGGGAUGAAGGUUCGUCCAUGCUUGGAGUUCGCACUAGCAUGCUUGGCAAUUUUGUAGAAGAAUUUUAUUAUUAACUAUAAAUUUGUAGCUAAUGAUCUUCUGAAUAUUGAGGUUGAUGGGUUUGGUAUUGAUAUUGGAUUUAGAAGCUCUGAACUAAUUUUAGUUUUAUUUAAUAGACGAUGAAAUUAGAUAUUUUAUUAUUUUAUUUUGCUGUGAUGGAAUUUGAAAGCUAAAAGUAAUGUUGGCUUCGUGUUUUCAUGGGUUGUAACCCUCGGUAACACGG